Molecule: ribosomal RNA, 869 nt
Filed under: uncultured archaeon
Lineage: Archaea
Description: bacterial SSU rRNA
Rfam family: Archaeal small subunit ribosomal RNA
Source: RNAcentral
CUCCGGGUUGAUCCCGCCGGACCUGACUGCUAUCGGAUUGGUACUAAGCCAUGCGAGUCAUUGUAGCAAUACAAGGCGGACAGCUCAGUAACACGUAGUCAACCUAACCUAUGGACGUGGAUAACCUCGGGAAACUGAGAAUAAACCGCGAUAGAUCAUUAUGCCUGGAAUGGCUUAUGGUUCAAACAAUUUAUUGCCGUAGGAUGGGACUGCGGCCUAUCAGCUUGUUGGUGAGGUAAUGGCCCACCAAGGCUAUAACAGGUACGGGCUCUGAGAGGAGAAGCCCGGAGAUGGGUACUGAGACACGGACCCAGGCCCUAUGGGGCGCAGCAGGCGAGAAACCUUAGCAAUGUGCGAAAGCACGACUGGGUCAGUCCGAGUGAUUCCUGAUAAAGGAGUCUUUUAUCUGUCCUAAAAGCACAGGUGAAUAAGGGGUGGGCAAGUCUGGUGUCAGCCGCCGCGGUAAUACCAGCACCUCGAGUGGUCAGGACGUUUAUUGGGCCUAAAGCAUCCGUAGCCGGCUCUGCAAGUCUUCGGUUAAAUCCACCUGCUCAACAGAUGGGCUGCUGGAGAUACUACAAAGCUAGGGAGUGGGAGAGGCAGACGGUAUUCAGUGGGUAGGGGUAAAAUCCUCUGAUCCAUCGAGGACCACCAGUGGCGAAGGCGGUCUGCCAGAACACGUUCGACGGUGAGGGAUGAAAGCUGGGGGAGCAAACCGGAUUAGAUACCCGGGUAGUCCCAGCUGUAAACGAUGCAAACUCGGUGAUGCAUUGGCUUAUGGCCAAUGCAGUGCCGCAGGGAAGCCGUUAAGUUUGCCGCCUGGGAAGUACGGACGCAAGUCUGAAACUUAAAGGAUUUGGCGGGGAGCA